RNAcentral lists this ribosomal RNA (240 nucleotides) under uncultured bacterium. Its description in RNAcentral is "partial 16S ribosomal RNA". It matches the Rfam family "Bacterial small subunit ribosomal RNA", at positions 15 to 252 of the family's 1533-position model. The record is from RNAcentral.
GAUCAUGGCUCAGGAUGAACGCUGGCGGCGUGCUUAACACAUGCAAGUCGAGCGAUGAAGUUUCCUUCGGGAAACGGAUUAGCGGCGGACGGGUGAGUAACACGUGGGUAACCUGCCUCAUAGAGUGGAAUAGCCUUCCGAAAGGAAGAUUAAUACCGCAUAACGUUGAAAGAUGGCAUCAUCAUUUAACCAAAGGAGCAAUCCGCUAUGAGAUGGACCCGCGGCGCAUUAGCUAGUUGG